This 375-nucleotide ribosomal RNA is filed under the name Escherichia coli. RNAcentral describes it as "bacterial SSU rRNA". It matches the Rfam family "Bacterial small subunit ribosomal RNA", at positions 1 to 370 of the family's 1533-position model. The record is from RNAcentral. Lineage: Bacteria; Pseudomonadati; Pseudomonadota; Gammaproteobacteria; Enterobacterales; Enterobacteriaceae.
UUAAAUUGAAGAGUUUGAUCAUGGCUCAGAUUGAACGCUGGCGGCAGGCCUAACACAUGCAAGUCGAACGGUAACAGGAAACAGCUUGCUGUUUCGCUGACGAGUGGCGGACGGGUGAGUAAUGUCUGGGAAACUGCCUGAUGGAGGGGGAUAACUACUGGAAACGGUAGCUAAUACCGCAUAACGUCGCAAGACCAAAGAGGGGGACCUUCGGGCCUCUUGCCAUCGGAUGUGCCCAGAUGGGAUUAGCUAGUAGGUGGGGUAACGGCUCACCUAGGCGACGAUCCCUAGCUGGUCUGAGAGGAUGACCAGCCACACUGGAACUGAGACACGGUCCAGACUCCUACGGGAGGCAGCAGUGGGGAAUAUUGCACA